RNAcentral lists this ribosomal RNA (495 nucleotides) under uncultured bacterium. RNAcentral describes it as "partial 16S ribosomal RNA". It matches the Rfam family "Bacterial small subunit ribosomal RNA", at positions 28 to 507 of the family's 1533-position model. The record is from RNAcentral.
GACGAACGCUGGCGGCGUGCCUAAUACAUGCAAGUAGAACGCUGAAGGAGGAACUUGCUUCUCUGGAUGAGUUGCGAACGGGUGAGUAACGCGUAGGUAACCUGCCUGGUAGCGGGGGAUAACUAUUGGAAACGAUAGCUAAUACCGCAUAAGAGUAGAUGUUGCAUGACAUUUGCUUAAAAGGUGCAAUUGCAUCACUACCAGAUGGACCUGCGUUGUAUUAGCUAGUUGGUGGGGUAACGGCUCACCAAGGCGACGAUACAUAGCCGACCUGAGAGGGGGAUCGGCCACACUGGGACUGAGACACGGCCCAGACUCCUACGGGAGGCAGCAGUAGGGAAUCUUCGGCAAUGGACGGAAGUCUGACCGAGCAACGCCGCGUGAGUGAAGAAGGUUUUCGGAUCGUAAAGCUCUGUUGUAAGAGAAGAACGAGUGUGAGAGUGGAAAGUUCACACUGUGACGGUAUCUUACCAGAAAGGGACGGCUAACUACGUG